This 585-nucleotide ribosomal RNA is filed under the name uncultured bacterium. RNAcentral describes it as "bacterial SSU rRNA". It matches the Rfam family "Bacterial small subunit ribosomal RNA", at positions 338 to 916 of the family's 1533-position model. The record is from RNAcentral.
CCUACGGGAGGCAGCAGUGGGGAAUUUUGGACAAUGGGCGAAAGCCUGAUCCAGCAAUGCCGCGUGAGUGAAGAAGGCCUUCGGGUUGUAAAGCUCUUUUGUCAGGGAAGAAACGGUGUGGGCUAAUAUCCUGCACUAAUGACGGUACCUGAAGAAUAAGCACCGGCUAACUACGUGCCAGCAGCCGCGGUAAUACGUAGGGUGCAAGCGUUAAUCGGAAUUACUGGGCGUAAAGCGUGCGCAGGCGGUUUUGUAAGUCUGUCGUGAAAUCCCCGGGCUCAACCUGGGAAUUGCGAUGGAGACUGCAAGGCUAGAAUCUGGCAGAGGGGGGUAGAAUUCCACGUGUAGCAGUGAAAUGCGUAGAGAUGUGGAGGAACACCGAUGGCGAAGGCAGCCCCCUGGGUCAAGAUUGACGCUCAUGCACGAAAGCGUGGGGAGCAAACAGGAUUAGAUACCCUGGUAGUCCACGCCCUAAACGAUGUCUACUAGUUGUCGGGUUUUAAUUAACUUGGUAACGCAGCUAACGCGUGAAGUAGACCGCCUGGGGAGUACGGUCGCAAGAUUAAAACUCAAAGGAAUUGACGG